This 32-nucleotide non-coding RNA is filed under the name Homo sapiens (human). The record is from RNAcentral. Lineage: Eukaryota; Metazoa; Chordata; Mammalia; Primates; Hominidae.
UGUACAGUAAGGAGCAGACAAGAUGGCACCGA